This 460-nucleotide ribosomal RNA is filed under the name uncultured bacterium. RNAcentral's name for it is "partial 16S ribosomal RNA". It matches the Rfam family "Bacterial small subunit ribosomal RNA", at positions 338 to 795 of the family's 1533-position model. The record is from RNAcentral.
CCUACGGGGGGCAGCAGUGAGGAAUAUUGGUCAAUGGCCGGAAGGCUGAACCAGCCAUGCCGCGUGAAGGUCAGUGCCCUAUGGGCGUUAAACUUCUUUUGUGCGGGAGCAAUAAUGGUCACGUGUGGCCAGACGAGAGUACCGUACGAAUAAGCAUCGGCUAACUCCGUGCCAGCAGCCGCGGUAAUACGGGGGAUGCAAGCGUUAUCCGGAGUUAUUGGGUUUAAAGGGUGCGUAGGCUGUGAGGUAAGUCAGCGGUGAAAUGCCCCCGCUCAACGGGGUGAAGUGUCAUUGAUACUGCCUGGCUGGAAUGCGGAUGCCGUGGGAGGAAUGUGUGGUGUAGCGGUGAAAUGCAUAGAUAUCACACAGAACACCGAUUGCGAAGGCAUCUCACGAAUCCGCGAUUGACGCUGAUGCACGAAAGCGUGGGUAUCAAACAGGAUUAGAUACCCGGGUAGUC